CGUGAAUGUUUUCCUGCACACUGGUAUUUAUGAAUGCCUCGAACAUUGAUAUUUUUUGUUUCCUUUAUAUAUGUAUAGAAUAGAGAAUUGAAGAGUUAUGAACUUUGACUCGGAAAACCACAAGCACGGGUAACUUUUGAAACCACCCGCAGGACAUGCAGGACAUGCAGGAGGUGGUCACAAAUGGAAGUUUAUACAUGUACUAAGAGUACCCCCCCCCC
Molecule: long non-coding RNA, 221 nt
Filed under: Mytilus galloprovincialis (Mediterranean mussel)
Lineage: Eukaryota; Metazoa; Mollusca; Bivalvia; Mytilida; Mytilidae
Source: RNAcentral